GUCGAGAAUAAUUCACAAUGGGGGCAACCCUGAUGGUGCAACGCCGCGUGGAGGAUGAAGGUCUUCGGAUUGUAAACUCCUGUCAUCCGGGAGCAAGACCUGGCCGUGAAUAGCGGACAGGGUUGAUAGUACCGGAAGAGGAAGGGACGGCUAACUUCGUGCCAGCAGCCGCGGUAAUACGAAGGUCCCGAGCGUUGUUCGGAAUUACUGGGCGUAAAGCGCGCGUAGGCGGCCCGUGAAGUCAGGAGUGAAAACUCGGGGCUCAACCUCGAGAUUGCUUUUGAAACCAGCGGGCUUGAGUGCAGGAGAGGAAGGCGGAAUUCCCAGUGUAGCGGUGAAAUGCGUAGAUAUGCGGAGGAACACCAAAAGCGAAGGCAGAUCACUGGCGCAUUCCUGACACUGAAGCACGAAAGCGUGGGGAGCAAACAGGAUUAGAAACCCUUGUAGUCC
Molecule: ribosomal RNA, 450 nt
Filed under: uncultured bacterium
Lineage: Bacteria
Description: bacterial SSU rRNA
Rfam family: Bacterial small subunit ribosomal RNA
Source: RNAcentral